GCCCUUGUAGUUCAAUGGACAGAACUUCGCACUCCUAACGCGAAGAUCCAGGUUCGACUCCUGGCAGGGGCA
RNAcentral lists this transfer RNA (72 nucleotides) under bacterium. Its description in RNAcentral is "tRNA-Arg". It matches the Rfam family "tRNA". From Rfam's summary of the family: Transfer RNA (tRNA) molecules are approximately 80 nucleotides in length. The record is from RNAcentral.